GCAUAUCAAUAAGCGGAGGAAAAGAAACCAACAGGGAUUGCCUCAGUAACGGCGAGUGAAGCGGCAACAGCUCAAAUUUGAAAUCUGGCCCCUCCGGGUCCGAGUUGUAAUUUGCAGAGGAUGCUUUGGGCGCGGUGCCUUCCGAGUUCCCUGGAACGGGACGCCACAGAGGGUGAGAGCCCCGUCUGGUUGGACACCAAGCCUAUGUAAAGCUCCUUCGACGAGUCGAGUAGUUUGGGAAUGCUGCUCUAAAUGGGAGGUACAUGCCUUCUAAAGCUAAAUACCGGCCAGAGACCGAUAGCGCACAAGUAGAGUGAUCGAAAGAUGAAAAGCACUUUGGAAAGAGAGUUAAACAGCACGUGAAAUUGUUAAAAGGGAAGCGUUUAUGACCAGACGUGGGCCGGUUAAUCAUCCAGCGUUCUCGCUGGUGCACUUUGCCGGUCCAGGCCAGCAUCAGUUCGCCGCGGGGGACAAAGGCGUCGGGAAUGUGGCUCCUCGGAGUGUUAUAGCCCUUCGCGCAAUACCCUGGGGCGGACUGAGGUUCGCGCUCUGCAAGGAUGCUGGCGUAAUGGUCAUCAACGACCCGUCUUGAAACACGGACCAAGGAGUCGUCUUCGUAUGCGAGUGUUCGGGUGUAAAACCCCUACGCGUAAUGAAAGUGAACGCAGGUGAGAGCUUCGGCGCAUCAUCGACCGAUCCUGAUGUUCUCGGAUGGAUUUGAGUAAGAGCAUACGGGGCCGGACCCGAAAGAAGGUGAACUAUGCCUGUAUAGGGUGAAGCCAGAGGAAACUCUGGUGGAGGCUCGCAGCGGUUCUGACGUGCAAAUCGAUCGUCAAAUAUGGGCAUGGGGGCGAAAGACUAAUCGAACCUUCUAGUAGCUGGUUUCCGCCGAAGU
This 895-nucleotide ribosomal RNA is filed under the name Cymostachys thailandica. Its description in RNAcentral is "partial 28S ribosomal RNA". It matches the Rfam family "Eukaryotic large subunit ribosomal RNA", at positions 38 to 967 of the family's 3401-position model. The record is from RNAcentral. Lineage: Eukaryota; Fungi; Ascomycota; Sordariomycetes; Hypocreales; Stachybotryaceae.